Molecule: long non-coding RNA, 390 nt
Filed under: Sarcophilus harrisii (Tasmanian devil)
Lineage: Eukaryota; Metazoa; Chordata; Mammalia; Dasyuromorphia; Dasyuridae
Description: lncRNA (ENSSHAG00000031596.1)
Source: RNAcentral
CAAAGUCAAAGCUCCUACUUCCAAAGCCUCCAAGAAAAAAAGAGUUGGUCUCAGGCCAUGGAAGAGCUCAACAAGGACUUUGAAAAGAGAUAGAAGGAAAAUUGGGAACAGAGAAAGAUCUUUGAUGGACUACAGGGUUUCCAUUGGAGAGGGUCUCAUUAUGCACAGCUACACUGGGAAGGGGCUCAAACUUCGAAUGCACCCUGCUGCACUUUGCUAACAAGGAAAAGGUUUCUCAAACAGCCCCUCGCUGGAAGAACUGUCAAAGAGAAUCUUUCUUCUUCAUUCUGGCUGAACUCUUGGGAAUCUUAGCUCAGUCCAGAUGGUGAACCUCAGCUGCUCUAUGAAACAGAGACACAAAAUAUCAUAGUAUCUGCACUGAAAGGCAAG